Molecule: long non-coding RNA, 535 nt
Filed under: Homo sapiens (human)
Lineage: Eukaryota; Metazoa; Chordata; Mammalia; Primates; Hominidae
Description: non-protein coding lnc-ACTR5-2:1
Source: RNAcentral
AAAAAAAAAAAAAAAAAAAAACAAACUCUUAGCUGAUGGUGGUGGUGCACGCCUGUAGUCCCAGCUACUCGGGAGGCUGAAGCGGGAGAAUUGCUUGAACCUGGGAGGUCAAGGCUGCAGUGAGCCAUGAUUGCGCCACUGCACUCCAGCCUGGGUGACAGAGGAGCAAGACCCUGUCUCAAAAAAAAAAAAAGAAAAAAAAAGAUGGUCUUCAGCACUAACCUGCAAGUUGGCCCUUUCCAGUACAGGAGAGUAGGGAUGGAGGGAGGUCAUUUCCUUGACGCUAGUCUCUCAGCUUGGACAUUCCUCUGAGGAAUGCUUAACAGGAUGAGGGAGGGGGCUUCGCCUCUGGCCAGUGCCCAGCUUAAGUAGCCUUUUGGAAAAGUUCCAGAGGACAUGGAGUGGGGUGGGGUUCUGCAGGCAGCCAUUCCUCAGUCUACACAACCCUCUGGUUCCACAAGAAUUGGGAGAUGAAUUUGGCUGCCUGCACUUCCCAGCCUGCAUCAGUUUUUUAAAUUUUUAUUUAUUUAUUUUU